CAGACGCUCCACCUUUCUCUACAAACCCUAACCCUAACCUUCAUUUCAUCCAUCGAUCCUCCACCGCUCCUCCACCGCUCCUCCAUCGAACCGGUCGUUGCCAUCACUGUCUUCUCCCCUUCUCCACUCCAACAGUCGCUUCAUGGCUUCUUUCCCGGUGGCUUCAAGAUCCGACACUAUCUCAGCAGAUUCGACACCAGAUCCGACACCAGAUCGAUUUCUAUGGCUUCUUUCCCGAUGGCUUCAAGAUCCGACACUAUCUCAGUAGAUCCGACACCAGAUCUACUGGUUUGACUGUAGGAUCUUCCUUUUGGUUGUGGGUUCGUCAACGAUGGUGCUUGUAGGUGGAAGAUCUGGCAAGAUCUAUGGUUUAUUUGUAGUAGAUUUCUCUCUAGAAUAGCACAACAAGCACUCUGUUCUUUGGUUUCGAACAGUGCGAGGUUAUGGCGUCUGCAAAUGCUGAGCUGGAGCGACUGCUUAAGGAGACAGGGAAACAGUUAUCGCUUCCUCAUGAUUAUUGGUACAUCAUACAUGGGGUCGACUGGUCGAGCAACUAUUUCUAGCGGCACUUCAACAGUUAUCAUCUUGCAGGUGUCUAUAAAGCUUAUGAUUUAAGAGAUGAGGGUUCCGACUACUUAGGAAAAGCUGUCUCCAAGGUGAGAACUAAUAGUCUGGGUUAGUGAGGCUAACUGCCUUUGCAGGCCAGAUCAGUCCCUU
Helianthus annuus (common sunflower) is the source of this 717-nucleotide long non-coding RNA. RefSeq lists it as uncharacterized. Lineage: Eukaryota; Viridiplantae; Streptophyta; Magnoliopsida; Asterales; Asteraceae. The record is from RefSeq and is a predicted model, not a curated record. The transcript is spliced from 5 exons.